This 471-nucleotide ribosomal RNA is filed under the name uncultured bacterium. RNAcentral describes it as "bacterial SSU rRNA". It matches the Rfam family "Bacterial small subunit ribosomal RNA", at positions 56 to 576 of the family's 1533-position model. The record is from RNAcentral.
UGCAGUCGACGCGCAUUUAUGUGAGUGGCGGACGGCUGAGUAACACGUUGGUACCUACCCCGAACUCGGGAAUAAGCACUGGAAACGGUGUCUAAUGCCCGAUAGUCUCCUUGGAGUAAAGAUUUAUCGGUUCGGGAGGGGCCUGCGCGAGAUUAGCUUGUUGGUGAGGUAAUGGCUCACCAAGGCUUCGAUCUCUAGGUGGUCUGAGAGGAUGAUCAUCCAGACUGGGACUGAGACACGGCCCAGACUCCUACGGGAGGCAGCAGUGAGGAAUCUUGCACAAUGGGGGAAACCCUGAUGCAGCAACGCCGCGUGGAGGAAGACGGCCCUAGGGUUGUAAACUCCUUUUAUUUGGGACGAACAUUGACGGUACCAAAUGAAUAAGAGGUGGCUAACUAUGUGCCNGCAGCCGCGGUAAUACNUAGACCUCGAGCGUUAUNCGGAUUUACUGGGCGUAAAGCGUGCGUAGGC